UGCUUUGUCUCCUCCAUCAUUCACUGGGCGACUUUUGGGUUCCUGGGCUUAUUUCAUGUGGUUUUCCUGACCUGCUAGAAGUUCUUCUAUGAUGCUUGAGGCAUCCAUCAUAUCUGAGAGCUUCGUCUUGACUUUGUCACGAAUUUGGUGAGGAGUGGAGCUGGCUGGCUGCGGACGAGGAAGUAGAGCAAUACAUACUUGUGCACAUACACGUAUAUGAGAAUGCAUAUCUAUUCAGACCUGUAACCCUACCUGUACACAGCUAUAUAUAUAU
Long non-coding RNA from Gymnodraco acuticeps, 274 nucleotides. RefSeq lists it as uncharacterized. The record is from RefSeq and is a predicted model, not a curated record. NCBI's taxonomy places the organism in Eukaryota, Metazoa, Chordata, Actinopteri, Perciformes, Bathydraconidae. The transcript is spliced from 3 exons.